AGCCCACCUUGGGGCUCAAAUCCACGAAACCAGAUGACCUGAGCCAAAAUCAAGAGGUGGACACUUGAAUGACUGAGCCACCCGGGCACCCCUAAAUUGAAAUACUUCUAAAAUCACUGGAAUGAAAAGUUCCUAUGCUCUUCUUAAGUUAACUUAAAGCAUUAUUAACUUUUUGUAGAAGUACUUAAAUAUUUUGAGUUAAACUUGCUUAGUAGGGUCUUUUUCCAACAAAAACAGAUCUGCCUCUGGUGACCUCUCCCUUGUUCUUUUUCUAGCAUACAAUGCCUUCUUAAACAAGAUACAGACAGUUCCAGUGGUUUACGUACCAACCCUAGGAACACCACAACCAGGUUUUGCCCCCACACGUUCUCCCCCACCUUUCACGAGUCCACAGUCCCCACCGGUCCAGAAUCGGCUACAACGUUGGCUGUGGAGUGUAAGGCACGAACGUCCACUUGGACACGUCCCCUGAACUGUAGACGACUGGAGAUUUCUAGCCCUAGACCAGGAGCCAUAAGCCCCCAAACGAGGCUUCUGAGAAUUAUAAAAGGUUUUAAGCUAUUCUACACUAA
Molecule: long non-coding RNA, 572 nt
Organism: Herpailurus yagouaroundi (jaguarundi)
Lineage: Eukaryota; Metazoa; Chordata; Mammalia; Carnivora; Felidae
Exons: 2
Source: RefSeq, a predicted model, not a curated record